UACGGGGGGGGCAAGCGUUGUUCGGAAUUACUGGGCGUAAAGGGCUCGUAGGCGGCCAACUAAGUCAGACGUGAAAUCCCUCGGCUUAACCGGGGAACUGCAUCUGAUACUGGAUGGCUUGAGUUCGGGGGAGGGAUGCGGAAUUCCAGGUGUAGCGGUGAAAUGCGUAGAUAUCUGGAGGAACACCGGUGGCGAAGGCGGCAUCCUGGACCGACACUGACGCUGAGGAGCGAAAGCCAGGGGAGCAAACGGG
This 253-nucleotide ribosomal RNA is filed under the name uncultured bacterium. RNAcentral's name for it is "partial 16S ribosomal RNA". It matches the Rfam family "Bacterial small subunit ribosomal RNA", at positions 524 to 776 of the family's 1533-position model. The record is from RNAcentral.